RNAcentral lists this ribosomal RNA (497 nucleotides) under uncultured bacterium. RNAcentral's name for it is "partial 16S ribosomal RNA". It matches the Rfam family "Bacterial small subunit ribosomal RNA", at positions 28 to 507 of the family's 1533-position model. The record is from RNAcentral.
GAUGAACGCUGGCGGCGUGCCUAAUACAUGCAAGUCGAGCGAACGGACGAGAAGCUUGCUUCUCUGAUGUUAGCGGCGGACGGGUGAGUAACACGUGGAUAACCUACCUAUAAGACUGGGAUAACUUCGGGAAACCGGAGCUAAUACCGGAUAAUAUUUUGAACCGCAUGGUUCAAAAGUGAAAGACGGUCUUGCUGUCACUUAUAGAUGGAUCCGCGCUGCAUUAGCUAGUUGGUAAGGUAACGGCUUACCAAGGCAACGAUGCAUAGCCGACCUGAGAGGGUGAUCGGCCACCUGGGAACUGAGACACGGUCCAGACUCCUACGGGAGGCAGCAGUAGGGAAUCUUCCGCAAUGGGCGAAAGCCUGACGGAGCAACGCCGCGUGAGUGAUGAAGGUCUUCGGAUCGUAAAACUCUGUUAUUAGGGAAGAACAUAUGUGUAAGUAACUGUGCACAUCUUGACGGUACCUAAUCAGAAAGCCACGGCUAACUACGUG